CCCUACGGGGCGCAGCAGUCGCGAAAACUUUGCAAUACACGAAAGUGUGACAGGGUCAUCCCGAGUGCCGACCGCUGAGGUUGGCUUUUACCCAGUCUAGAAAGCUGGGGGAAUAAGGAGAGGGCAAGUCUGGUGUCAGCCGCCGCGGUAAUACCAGCUCUCCGAGUGGUGUGGACGUUUAUUGGGCCUAAAGCAUCCGUAGCUGGCUGAACAAGUCCCCUGUUAAACCCACCGAUUUAAUCGUUGGUCUGCGGGGGAUACUGCUCGGCUAGGGGACGAGAGAGGCAGACGGUAUUCCCGGGGUAGGGGUGAAAUCCUAUAAUCCCGAGAAGACCACCAGUGGCGAAGGCUGUCUGCUAGAACGCGCCCGACGGUGAGGGAUGAAAGCUGGGGGAGCGAACCGGAUUAGAUACCCUGGU
RNAcentral lists this ribosomal RNA (419 nucleotides) under uncultured bacterium. Its description in RNAcentral is "bacterial SSU rRNA". It matches the Rfam family "Archaeal small subunit ribosomal RNA", at positions 321 to 742 of the family's 1478-position model. The record is from RNAcentral.